This 87-nucleotide non-coding RNA is filed under the name Pseudomonas chlororaphis. Lineage: Bacteria; Pseudomonadati; Pseudomonadota; Gammaproteobacteria; Pseudomonadales; Pseudomonadaceae. The record is from RNAcentral.
AAUUAUGGCGGUUGUACGCGGGGCACUUUCGAGUGCGCCGGGUUCCUGUAUCCUCGGUCUUCCAGACCAUGCACAGCUGCCCCUCAU